This 72-nucleotide transfer RNA is filed under the name Camelus ferus (Wild Bactrian camel). It matches the Rfam family "tRNA". Rfam says of the family: Transfer RNA (tRNA) molecules are approximately 80 nucleotides in length. Lineage: Eukaryota; Metazoa; Chordata; Mammalia; Artiodactyla; Camelidae. The record is from Rfam by way of RNAcentral.
GAGGGUAUAGCUCAGUGGUAGAGUGCCUGCUUAGCAUGCAUAAGGUCCUGGGUUCAAUCCCCAGUGCCUCCA